CACGUAGGGCGCGAGCGUUGUCCGGAAUUAUUGGGCGUAAAGAGCUCGUAGGCGGCCUGUUGCGUCCGCUGUGAAAGCCCGGGGCUUAACCCCGGGUCGGCAGUGGAUACGGGCAGGCUAGAGGUAGGUAGGGGAGAAUGGAAUUCCCGGUGUAGCGGUGAAAUGCGCAGAUAUCGGGAGGAACACCGGUGGCGAAGGCGGUUCUCUAGGCCUUACCUGACGCUGAAGAGCGAAAGCGUGGGGAGCGAACAGG
This 253-nucleotide ribosomal RNA is filed under the name uncultured bacterium. RNAcentral's name for it is "partial 16S ribosomal RNA". It matches the Rfam family "Bacterial small subunit ribosomal RNA", at positions 524 to 776 of the family's 1533-position model. The record is from RNAcentral.